Molecule: ribosomal RNA, 264 nt
Filed under: uncultured Staphylococcus sp.
Lineage: Bacteria; Bacillati; Bacillota; Bacilli; Caryophanales; Staphylococcaceae
Description: partial 16S ribosomal RNA
Rfam family: Bacterial small subunit ribosomal RNA
Source: RNAcentral
CGGGACGGGUGAGUAACACGUGGAUAACCUACCUAUAAGACUGGGAUAACUUCGGGAAACCGGAGCUAAUACCGGAUAAUAUAUUGAACCGCAUGGUUCAAUAGUGAAAGACGGUUUUGCUGUCACUUAUAGAUGGAUCCGCGCUGCAUUAGCUAGUUGGUAAGGUAACGGCUUACCAAGGCAACGAUGCGUAGCCGACCUGAGAGGGUGAUCGGCCACACUGGAACUGAGACACGGUCCAGACUCCUACGGGAGGCAGCAGGC